This 257-nucleotide unclassified non-coding RNA is filed under the name Glomus sp. RNAcentral describes it as "partial contains 5.8S ribosomal RNA and internal transcribed spacer 2". The stretch from base 1 to 65 matches the Rfam family "5.8S ribosomal RNA", at positions 84 to 154 of the family's 154-position model. Lineage: Eukaryota; Fungi; Glomeromycota; Glomeromycetes; Glomerales; Glomeraceae. The record is from RNAcentral.
GUGAAUCAUCAAAUUUUUGAACGCAAAUUGCACUUUCUUCGGAGAGUAUGCCUGUUUGAGGGUCAGCAUAUAAAAAAUUGUCAUCGUUGCUGUUUCGUGGUGAGGUUCGUCGGAAAUUGGGUUAUCUUAAAUCAUUUUGGUUUUAAGCGACUUACAAUUUUCUUUUUGGUUCCAUGAACGUUUCUAAGUUUUAUUUCUUUACACGUUUGAUGUAUCGUUUUUUUCUAGCAGUGACUAUAAUAUCGGAUCGCGUUGAU